Molecule: ribosomal RNA, 1346 nt
Filed under: uncultured bacterium
Lineage: Bacteria
Description: partial 16S ribosomal RNA
Rfam family: Bacterial small subunit ribosomal RNA
Source: RNAcentral
GACGAACGCUUUCGGCGUGCUUAACACAUGCAAGUCGAACGGAAAGGCCCUGCUUUUGUGGGGUGCUCGAGUGGCGAACGGGUGAGUAACACGUGAGUAACCUGCCCUUGACUUUGGGAUAACUUCAGGAAACUGGGGCUAAUACCGGAUAGGAGCUCCUGCUGCAUGGUGGGGGUUGGAAAGUUUCGGCGGUUGGGGAUGGACUCGCGGCUUAUCAGCUUGUUGGUGGGGUAGUGGCUUACCAAGGCUUUGACGGGUAGCCGGCCUGAGAGGGUGACCGGCCACAUUGGGACUGAGAUACGGCCCAGACUCCUACGGGAGGCAGCAGUGGGGAAUAUUGCACAAUGGGCGGAAGCCUGAUGCAGCAACGCCGCGUGCGGGAUGACGGCCUUCGGGUUGUAAACCGCUUUCGCCUGUGACGAAGCGUGAGUGACGGUAAUGGGUAAAGAAGCACCGGCUAACUACGUGCCAGCAGCCGCGGUGAUACGUAGGGUGCGAGCGUUGUCCGGAUUUAUUGGGCGUAAAGGGCUCGUAGGUGGUUGAUCGCGUCGGAAGUGUAAUCUUGGGGCUUAACCCUGAGCGUGCUUUCGAUACGGGUUGACUUGAGGAAGGUAGGGGAGAAUGGAAUUCCUGGUGGAGCGGUGGAAUGCGCAGAUAUCAGGAGGAACACCAGUGGCGAAGGCGGUUCUCUGGGCCUUUCCUGACGCUGAGGAGCGAAAGCGUGGGGAGCGAACAGGCUUAGAUACCCUGGUAAUCCACGCUGUAAACGGUGGGUACUAGGUGUGGGGUCCAUUCCACGGGUUCCGUGCCGUAGCUAACGCUUUAAGUACCCCGCCUGGGGAGUACGGCCGCAAGGCUAAAACUCAAAGGAAUUGACGGGGCCCCGCACAAGCGGCGGAGCAUGCGGAUUAAUUCGAUGCAACGCGUAGAACCUUACCUGGGUUUGACAUGGAUCGGGAGUGCUCAGAGAUGGGUGUGCCUCUUUUGGGGUCGGUUCACAGGUGGUGCAUGGCUGUCGUCAGCUCGUGUCGUGAGAUGUUGGGUUAAGUCCCGCAACGAGCGCAACCCUUGUUCACUGUUGCCAGCACGUUAUGGUGGGGACUCAGUGGAGACCGCCGGGGUCAACUCGGAGGAAGGUGGGGAUGACGUCAAGUCAUCAUGCCCCUUAUGUCCAGGGCUUCACGCAUGCUACAAUGGCUGGUACAGAGAGUGGCGAGCCUGUGAGGGUGAGCGAAUCUCGGAAAGCCGGUCUCAGUUCGGAUUGGGGUCUGCAACUCGACCUCAUGAAGUCGGAGUCGCUAGUAAUCGCAGAUCAGCAACGCUGCGGUGAAUACGUUCCCGGGGCU